UUUGGCCGGAGAAAUUUCUGGGGUUUUGUCGUCGGACAGAGGCGAGUCUUUUGGUAUUGCUGGAUUUUGCACAGCACUGACCGAGAUUGAUUUUACUUGAAAAAGUCGCCGGAAAAGGGUUCCGAUGACUGAUUUUACUUCCCGGAAUCGCUGGAAUUUAUGCACAGCGAUAAAUCUCUCACGAUUGCUCUGAUACCAUGUGAGAAAGCACGGGAGAAAAAUAUAUAAUUGAUAUAAAC
This 239-nucleotide long non-coding RNA is filed under the name Nicotiana benthamiana. Its description in RNAcentral is "long non-coding RNA (NBEN_LNC020768)". The record is from RNAcentral. Lineage: Eukaryota; Viridiplantae; Streptophyta; Magnoliopsida; Solanales; Solanaceae.